UGGGGAAUAUUGCACAAUGGGCGCAAGCCUGAUGCAGCAACGCCGCGUGCGGGAUGACGGCCUUCGGGUUGUAAACCGCUUUCAUCCAUGACGAAGCGAGAGUGACGGUAGUGGAAGAAGAAGCACCGGCUAACUACGUGCCAGCAGCCGCGGUGAUACGUAGGGUGCGAGCGUUGUCCGAAUUUAUUGGGCGUAAAGAGCUUGUAGGCGGUUUGUCGCGUCGGGAGUGAAAACUCAGGGCUUAACCCUGAGCCUGCUUCCGAUACGGGCAGACUUGAGGAAGGUAGGGGAGAUUGGAAUUCCUGGUGAAGCGGUGGAAUGCGUAGAUAUCAGGAGGAACACCAGUGGCGAAGGCGGAUCUCUGGACCUUUCCUGACGCUGAGAAGCGAAAGCGUGGGGAGCAAACA
RNAcentral lists this ribosomal RNA (407 nucleotides) under uncultured bacterium. RNAcentral's name for it is "partial 16S ribosomal RNA". It matches the Rfam family "Bacterial small subunit ribosomal RNA", at positions 355 to 774 of the family's 1533-position model. The record is from RNAcentral.